Molecule: ribosomal RNA, 468 nt
Filed under: uncultured bacterium
Lineage: Bacteria
Description: partial 16S ribosomal RNA
Rfam family: Bacterial small subunit ribosomal RNA
Source: RNAcentral
GACGAACGCUGGCGGCGUGCUUAACACAUGCAAGUCGAACGGAAAGGCCCUGCGUUUGUGGGGUGCUCGAGUGGCGAACGGGUGAGUAACACGUGAGUAACCUGCCCUUGACUUUGGGAUAACUUCAGGAAACUGGGGCUAAUACCGUAUAGGAUCUCCUGCUGCAUGGUGGGGGUUGGAAAGUUUCGGCGGUUGGGGAUGGACUCGCGGCUUAUCAGCUUGUUGGUGGGGUAGUGGCUUACCAAGGCUUUGACGGGUAGCCGGCCUGAGAGGGUGACCGGCCACAUUGGGACUGCGAUACGGCCCAGACUCCUACGGGAGGCAGCAGUGGGGAAUAUUGCACAAUGGGCGGAAGCCUGAUGCAGCAACGCCGCGUGCGGGAUGACGGCCUUCGGGUUGUAAACCGCUUUCGCCUGUGACGAAGCGUGAGUGACGGUAAUGGGUAAAGAAGCACCGGCUAACUACGUG